Molecule: ribosomal RNA, 243 nt
Filed under: uncultured bacterium
Lineage: Bacteria
Description: partial 16S ribosomal RNA
Rfam family: Bacterial small subunit ribosomal RNA
Source: RNAcentral
UGGCGACCGGCGCACGGGUGCGUAACGCGUAUGCAACCUACCCAUAACAGGGGGAUAACACUGAGAAAUUGGUACUAAUACCCCACAACAUCAGGACCGGCAUCGGUUCUGGUUGAAAACUCCGGUGGUUAUGGAUGGGCAUGCGUUGUAUUAGCUGUUGGUGAGGUAACGGCUCACCAAGGCAACGAUACAUAGGGGGACUGAGAGGUUAACCCCCCACAUUGGUACUGAGACACGGACCAA